Long non-coding RNA from Homo sapiens (human), 418 nucleotides. RefSeq lists it as uncharacterized. NCBI's taxonomy places the organism in Eukaryota, Metazoa, Chordata, Mammalia, Primates, Hominidae. The transcript has 3 exons. The record is from RefSeq and is a predicted model, not a curated record.
CAGGUCUAUUAUACAUUUCUAUUUUCCAGGAUUCAGACUACAGAAGCCAUAGUUACAUGGAGCGUGUUCUGAAGCUUGAAUUCAGGAGUAAAUGAGGAUAAGCAAAUGACACAGUACAUUUAAAUGGCCUCUCUGUAAAUGUAGCACAUGAUUCUGCAAUGGCUAAGCUCCAUGUAAAGCACCUCUUCUUGGACUUGACUUUCCAGUGUGCCUUCUUCCUGUAAGUGACACAGGAGCAGCAAGGACUGCAGGAGCACACAACCUGCCCCACAAGAUCUGUUUCAUGCAGCCUUGGGUUUCCAGAGGAUUCAUUUCUAAUCUCAUCUAUUUUCUGAUAUGUCACACAGGAUGCUUAUAUUUAAAAAGCAGGACAAGACAGUCUGGAGAACUUUUCAGCUCCUGCUGUUAACACACUAAC